Molecule: long non-coding RNA, 744 nt
Filed under: Daucus carota (carrot)
Lineage: Eukaryota; Viridiplantae; Streptophyta; Magnoliopsida; Apiales; Apiaceae
Description: long non-coding RNA (DCAR_LNC006267)
Source: RNAcentral
GUAAAUAUAGAGGGGGAGGUGAUUGUCGAGGAGGAACAGAAGGUGAUGAUGAUGGUGGUACUGAAAAAGGUGAUGGUAAAGGGGAUAAAUAUAGAGGAGGUGAAGGUGGAGCUGGUGGUGAUAGUGAAGGAGGCGACAAUUGAGGAGUAGGGGGUGAUAGUAAUGGUGGUAUUGAAAGAGGUGAUGGCAAAGGGUAUAAAUAUAAAGGAGGUGAAGGUGAUGUUGGUGGUGAUAUGGGUGGAGGUGACCGUUGAGGAGGAGAUGACGGCAAAGGGGGUAAAUAUAUAGGAGGUGAAGGUGGUGGUGAUAGUAGGGGAGAUGACGAUUUAGGAGGAGCGGGAGGUGAUAGUAAUGGUGGUACUGAAAAAGGUGAUGGUAAAGGGGGUGAAUAUAGAGGAGGCGAAGGUGGUGAGGGAGGCGAUAUUUUAGGAGGAGUGAAAGGUGAUAAUAAUGGGGGUACUGGAAUAGGUGGCGGCAAAAUGGGUAUAUAUAGAGGAGGUGAAGGUGGUGAGGGAGGCGACAGUUUAGGAGGAGGUGAUAGUAAUGGUGGUAUUGGAGGAGGUCGCAGCAAAGGGGGUAAAUAUAGAGGAGGUGAAGGUGGUGGUGAUAGCGGGGAAAUUGACCGUUGAGGAGCGGGAGGUGAUAAUAAUGGUGGUACUAAAAAGGGUGAUGGCAAAGGGGUUAAAUAUAAAGGAGGUGAAGGUGGUGACAGUAAGGGAGGCGACAGUUUAGGAGGAGUGGGAG